GUGUUUCCUGAGAACAUCGCAGAACAAACAACGUAGAACGAACAUCGCAAACGAACAUCGUAGAACAAACAUAGCAGUACAAGCAACGUAGAACAAACAUCGCAGUACAAACAUUGCUGAACGAACAUCGUAGAACGAACAUCGCAGUACAAGCAACGUAGAACAAACAUCGCAGUACAAGCAACGUAGAACAAACAUCGCAGUA
Molecule: long non-coding RNA, 205 nt
Organism: Xiphophorus couchianus (Monterrey platyfish)
Lineage: Eukaryota; Metazoa; Chordata; Actinopteri; Cyprinodontiformes; Poeciliidae
Exons: 2
Source: RefSeq, a predicted model, not a curated record